This 229-nucleotide long non-coding RNA is filed under the name Brachypodium distachyon (stiff brome). RNAcentral describes it as "long non-coding RNA (BDIS_LNC001558)". Lineage: Eukaryota; Viridiplantae; Streptophyta; Magnoliopsida; Poales; Poaceae. The record is from RNAcentral.
UUCUUCCUCCUGGCCGUCUCGCUCCGCGAGUCCACGGCGGCUCAGCCACUGCUCACAGCCAUCACUAAGAACCCUUCCACCUCCCGCUACACGGCUCCCCUCAACGCCGGCCGCCCUCUAAUCCUCGACCUCAACACCGGAGCCGUCACCACGCCCUGCAGCGGCGGCCAGACGACGACACGCGUCACGCUCUCCGCGAACGCCACCGACGGCAGCCGCCCGCUGUCCC